GGGUGAGUAACGCGUGGGAAUCUACCUUUUGCUACGGAAUAACGCAGGGAAACUUGUGCUAAUACCGUAUGUGUCCUUCGGGAGAAAGAUUUAUCGGCAAGAGAUGAGCCCGCGUUGGAUUAGCUAGUUGGUGGGGUAAAGGCCUACCAAGGCGACGAUCCAUAGCUGGUCUGAGAGGAUGAUCAGCCACAUUGGGACUGAGACACGGCCCAAACUCCUACGGGAGGCAGCAGUGGGGAAUAUUGGACAAUGGGCGCAAGCCUGAUCCAGCCAUGCCGCGUGAGUGAUGAAGGCCCUAGGGUUGUAAAGCUCUUUCACCGGAGAAGAUAAUGACGGUAUCCGGAGAAGAAGCCCCGGCUAACUUCGUGCCAGCAGCCGCGGUAAUACGAAGGGGGCUAGCGUUGUUCGGAAUUACUGGGCGUAAAGCGCACGUAGGCGGAUCGAUCAGUCAGGGGUGAAAUCCCAGGGCUCAACCCUGGAACUGCCUUUGAUACUGUCGAUCUGGAGUAUGGAAGAGGUGAGUGGAAUUCCGAGUGUAGAGG
Molecule: ribosomal RNA, 542 nt
Filed under: Rhizobium sp.
Lineage: Bacteria; Pseudomonadati; Pseudomonadota; Alphaproteobacteria; Hyphomicrobiales; Rhizobiaceae
Description: bacterial SSU rRNA
Rfam family: Bacterial small subunit ribosomal RNA
Source: RNAcentral